CCCUUAGAUGUUCUGGGCCGCACGCGUGCUACACUGAGUGGAUCAGCGGGUCAGGUUGCGCGAAAGUGUUUCCUAAUCUUUAAAUCCGCUCGUGAUGGGGAUUGACGGUUGCAAUUUUCCGUCAUGAACGAGGAAUACCUUGUAAGCGCGGGUCAUCAUCCCGCGCUGAAUACGUCCCUGCCCUUUGUACACACCGCCCGUCGCUCCUACCGAUUGAGUGGUCCGGUGAGGCUUUGGGAUCUGAGCGGAAAGAGCGUUUCGCUGUUUCUGCCCGGAAAACUCAGUCGAACCUUCUCAUUUAGAGGAAGGAGAAGUCGUAACA
RNAcentral lists this ribosomal RNA (322 nucleotides) under uncultured eukaryote. Its description in RNAcentral is "partial 18S ribosomal RNA". It matches the Rfam family "Eukaryotic small subunit ribosomal RNA", at positions 1470 to 1796 of the family's 1831-position model. The record is from RNAcentral.